Molecule: ribosomal RNA, 496 nt
Filed under: uncultured bacterium
Lineage: Bacteria
Description: partial 16S ribosomal RNA
Rfam family: Bacterial small subunit ribosomal RNA
Source: RNAcentral
GAUGAACGCUGGCGGCGUGCCUAAUACAUGCAAGUCGAGCGAACAGACGAGGAGCUUGCUCCUCUGACGUUAGCGGCGGACGGGUGAGUAACACGUGGAUAACCUACCUAUAAGACUGGGAUAACUUCGGGAAACCGGAGCUAAUACCGGAUAAUAUAUUGAACCGCAUGGUUCAAUAGUGAAAGACGGUUUUGCUGUCACUUAUAGAUGGAUCCGCGCCGCAUUAGCUAGUUGGUAAGGUAACGGCUUACCAAGGCAACGAUGCGUAGCCGACCUGAGAGGGUGAUCGGCCCCACUGGACCUGGGCCACGGUCCAGCCUCCUACGGGAGGCAGCAGUAGGGAAUCUUCCGCAAUGGGCGAAAGCCUGACGGAGCAACGCCGCGUGAGUGAUGAAGGUCUUCGGAUCGUAAAACUCUGUUAUUAGGGAAGACAAAUGUGUAAGUAACUAUGCACGUCUUGACGGUACCUAAUCAGAAAGCCACGGCUAACUACGUG